This 1197-nucleotide long non-coding RNA is filed under the name Calidris pygmaea (Spoon-billed sandpiper). RNAcentral describes it as "lncRNA (ENSCPGG00000003948.1)". The record is from RNAcentral. Lineage: Eukaryota; Metazoa; Chordata; Aves; Charadriiformes; Scolopacidae.
GGGAGAAGCCGGGAGUGNCUCCGGCCCUCAGCCCUGGGCCCUGGCCCCUCUGCGGCGCUGCGGGUCCCCAAAACCCCCUGCGGGGCUGGUCCUGGGGCUCUGUGUCCCCAAAACCCCGUGCGGGGCUGGCCCUGGGGCUCUCUGUCCCCAAAACCCCGUGCGGGGCUGGCCUUGGGGCUCUGUGUCCCCAAAACCCCGUGCGGGGCUGGCCCUGGGGUUCUCUGUCCCCAAAACCCCGUGCGGGGCUGGCCCUGGGGCUCUGUGUCCCCAAAACCCCCUGCGGGGCUGGCCUUGGGGCUCUGUGUCCCCAAAACCCCGUGCGGGGCUGGCCUUGGGGCUCUGUGUCCCCAAAACCCCGUGCGGGGCUGGCCUUGGGGCUCUGUGUCACCCAGACCCUUGUGCCUCAAUAUCCAUGGGGCAGGGGCCCCCUGUGCAUCGAUGUCAGUGGGGCUGUGUGCCCCCAACACCUUCUGUGUUGAUGUCCAUGUGUCCCCAACACCUUGUGCAUUGAUGCCCAUGUGGCUGUGUGUCCCCAGCACCCUGUGUGUUGAUGUCCCAUUUGGGGACACACAGAUGGGGACACACAGCCCCAUUGAUGGCGAUGGGGCUGUGUGUCCCCAUCACCCUGUGCAUCAAUAUCCAUGGGGCUGUGUGUCCCCAUCACCCUGUUUGUUGAUGUCCAUGUGUCCCCAUCACCGUGUGUAUGGCUGUCCUUGGGGCUUGUGUGUCCCCAACACCCUGUGUGUUGAUGUCCAUGUGUCCCCAUCACCCCGUGCAUUGAUGUCCAUGGGGCUUGUGUGUCCCCAACACCUUGUGUGUUGAUGUCCAUGUGUCCCCAUCACCCCGUGCAUUGAUGUCCAUGGGGCUUGUGUGUCCCCAUCACCCUGUGUGUUGAUGUCCAUGUGUCCCCAACACCCUGUGCAUUGAUGUCCAUGGGGCUUGUGUGUCCCCAUCACCCUGUGUGUUGAUGUCCAUGUGCCCCCAACACCCUGUGCAUUGAUGUCCAUAGGGCUUGUGUGUCCCCAACACCCUGUGUGUUGAUGUCCGUGUGUCCCCAACACCUUGUGUGUUGAUGUCCAUGUGUCCCCAUCACCCCGUGCAUUGAUGUCCAUGGGGCUGUGUGUCCCCCAUCACCCUGUCCAUCGCUCCCCAUGGGGCUGUGUCCCCCCCCAGCACCCCACACCUGCCCACCCAGCC